Molecule: ribosomal RNA, 200 nt
Filed under: uncultured bacterium
Lineage: Bacteria
Description: partial 16S ribosomal RNA
Rfam family: Bacterial small subunit ribosomal RNA
Source: RNAcentral
UACGAAGGGGCUAGCGUUGUUCGGAAUUACUGGGCGUAAAGCGCGCGCAGGUGGUCUUUCAAGUCAGUGGUGAAAGCCCGGAGCUCAACUCCGGAAAUGCCAUUGAAACUGUGAGACUUGAGGACGAGAGAGGUGAGUGGAAUUCCCAGUGUAGAGGUGAAAUUCGUAGAUAUUAGGGAAAGAACACCGGGUGGCGAAGG